Molecule: ribosomal RNA, 400 nt
Filed under: uncultured bacterium
Lineage: Bacteria
Description: bacterial SSU rRNA
Rfam family: Bacterial small subunit ribosomal RNA
Source: RNAcentral
UGAGGGAUAUUGGUCAAUGGGGGAAACCCUGAACCAGCGACGCCGCGUGGGUGAAGAAGGUCUUCGGAUCGUAAAGCCCUUUUCUGUGUGAAGAGAGAGGACGGUAGCACAGGAAUAAGUCUCGGCUAACUACGUGCCAGCAGCCGCGGUAAAACGUAGGAGACAAGCGUUAUCCGGAGUUACUGGGCGUAAAGGGCGUGUAGGUGGCAGAAUAAGUCUGUUGUGAAAGCGCCUGGCUUAACCGGGCGAGGCCAAUGGAGACUGUUCAGCUCGAGGCCGGUAGAGGUGGGUGGAAUUCCGGGUGUAGUGGUGAAAUGCGUAGAGAUCCGGAGGAACACCAGAGGCGAAGGCGGCCCACUAGGCCGGACCUGACACUGAAACGCGACAGCAUGGGGAGCAA